Molecule: ribosomal RNA, 472 nt
Filed under: uncultured Paraglomus
Lineage: Eukaryota; Fungi; Glomeromycota; Glomeromycetes; Paraglomerales; Paraglomeraceae
Description: SSU rRNA
Rfam family: Eukaryotic small subunit ribosomal RNA
Source: RNAcentral
AGCAGCCGCGGUAAUUCCAGCUCCAAUAGCGUAUAUUAAAGUUGUUGUGGUUAAAAAGCUCGUAGUUGAACCUUGGGCCUGGCUGGCCGGUCCGCCUCACCGCGUGUACUGGUCCGGCCGGGCCUUUCCCUCUGUGGAACCCCAUGCCCUUCACUGGGUGUGGCGGGGAAACAGGACUUUUACUUUGAAAAAAUUAGAGUGCUCCAGGCAGGCCUAUGCUCGAAUACAUUAGCAUGGAAUAAUAGAAUAGGACGUGUGGUUCUAUUUUGUUGGUUUCUAGGACCGCCGUAAUGAUUAAUAGGGACAGUCGGGGGCAUCAGUAUUCAAUUGUCAGAGGUGAAAUUCUUGGAUUUAUUGAAGACUAACUACUGCGAAAGCAUUUGCCAAGGAUGUUUUCAUUAAUCAGGAACGAAAGUUAGGGGAUCGAAGACGAUCAGAUACCGUCGUAGUCUUAACCAUAAACUAUGCCGAC